AGAACGAACGCUGGCGGCAGGCCUCAAACAUGCAAGUCUAGGGGGUGUAGCAAUACAUCACCGGCGGACGGGUGCGUAACACGUGGGAAUAUACCUUUUGGUUCGGAACAACGCAGGGAAACUUGCGCUAAUACCGAAUGUGCCCUUACGGGGGAAAGAUUUAUCGCCAAAAGAUCGGCCCGCGUCUGAUUAGCUAGUUGGUGAGGUAACGGCUCACCAAGGCGACGAUCAGUAGCUGGUCUGAGAGGAUGAUCAGCCACAUUGGGACUGAGACACGGCCCAAACUCCUACGGGAGGCAGCAGUGGGGAAUAUUGGACAAUGGGCGCAAGCCUGAUCCAGCCAUGCCGCGUGAGUGAUGAAGGCCCUAGGGUUGUAAAGCUCUUUGUGCGGGAAGAUAAUGACGGUACCGCAAGAAUAAGCCCGGCUAACUCGUGCCAGCAGCCGC
This 446-nucleotide ribosomal RNA is filed under the name uncultured bacterium. Its description in RNAcentral is "SSU rRNA". It matches the Rfam family "Bacterial small subunit ribosomal RNA", at positions 26 to 518 of the family's 1533-position model. The record is from RNAcentral.